GAUGAACGCUAGCUACAGGCUUAACACAUGCAAGUCGAGGGGCAGCAUGAACUUAGCUUGCUAAGUUCGAUGGCGACCGGCGCACGGGUGAGUAACACGUAUCCAACCUGCCUUCAACUCAGGGAUAGCCUUUCGAAAGAAAGAUUAAUACCCGAUGGCAUAGUUCUUCCGCAUGGUAGAACUAUUAAAGAAUUUCGGUCAUCGAUGGGGAUGCGUUCCAUUAGCUUGUUGGCGGGGUAACGGCCCACCAAGGCAUCGAUGGAUAGGGGUUCUGAGAGGAAGGUCCCCCACAUUGGAACUGAGACACGGUCCAA
RNAcentral lists this ribosomal RNA (314 nucleotides) under uncultured bacterium. Its description in RNAcentral is "bacterial SSU rRNA". It matches the Rfam family "Bacterial small subunit ribosomal RNA", at positions 28 to 334 of the family's 1533-position model. The record is from RNAcentral.